RNAcentral lists this ribosomal RNA (821 nucleotides) under Althepus flabellaris. Its description in RNAcentral is "SSU rRNA". It matches the Rfam family "Eukaryotic small subunit ribosomal RNA", at positions 952 to 1791 of the family's 1831-position model. Lineage: Eukaryota; Metazoa; Arthropoda; Arachnida; Araneae; Ochyroceratidae. The record is from RNAcentral.
CAUUUGCCAAGAAUGUUUCCAUUAAUCAAGAACGAAAGUUAGAGGUUCGAAGGCGAUCAGAUACCGCCCUAGUUCUAACCAUAAACGAUGCCAACCAGCGAUCCGCCUGGGUUCCUCAAAUGACUCGGCGGGCAGCUUCCGGGAAACCAAAGUGUUUGGGUUCCGGGGGGAGUAUGGUUGCAAAGCUCAAACUUAAAGGAAUUGACGGAGGGGCACCACCAGGAGUGGAUUUUGCGGUUUAAUUUGACUCAACACGGGAAAACUUACCCGGCCCGGACACCGGAAGGAUUGACAGAUUAAGAGCUCUUUCUUGAUUCGGUGGGUGGUGGUGCAUGGCCGUUCCUAGUUGGUGGAGCGAUUUGUCUGGUUAAUUCCGUUAACGAACGAGACUCUAGCCUGCUAAAUAGGCGUUCCGAUCCCUUGAGUCGGACGUUCUUCUUAGAGGGACAAGCGGCGUUCAGCCGCGCGAGACAGAGCGAUAACAGGUCUGAGAUGCCCUUAGAUGUCCGGGGCCACACGCGUGCUACACUGAAGGAAUCAGCGUGUGCUUUCCCUGUCCGGCAGGACUGGGUAACCCGUUGAACCUCCUUCGUGAUAGGGAUAGGGGCUUGUAAUUGUUCCCCUUGAACGAGGAAUUCCCAGUAAGCGCGAGUCAUAAGCUCGCGUUGAUUAGGUCCCUGCCCCUUGUCCACACCGCCCGUCGCUACUAGCGAUUGAACGAUGGGGUGAGGUCUUCGGACCGGCGCACGGAGCGGUCUAACCGCCGCGCCGUCGUGCCAGAAAGAUGACCGAACUUGAUCGUUUAGAGCAAGUAAAAGUCG